This 97-nucleotide long non-coding RNA is filed under the name Sus scrofa (pig). RNAcentral describes it as "lncRNA (ENSSSCG00070002825.1)". The record is from RNAcentral. Lineage: Eukaryota; Metazoa; Chordata; Mammalia; Artiodactyla; Suidae.
UCCCGGCCUUCGAAGUGCACUCACCUGUCAGUGGACCUUUAGGUGGCUUCCAGAUCUUGGCUCUGCCCCGCGGCGGCAGAUGGCACUCGUUCUGCCG